GGGGCUGAUUCUGGAUUCGACGGGAUUUGCGAAACCCAAGGUGCAUGCCGAGGGGCGGUUGGCCUCGUAAAAAGCCGCAAAAAAAUAGUCGCAAACGACGAAACCUACGCUUUAGCAGCUUAAUAACCUGCUUAGAGCCCUCUCUCCCUAGCCUCCGCUCUUAGGACGGGGAUCAAGAGAGGUCAAACCCAAAAGAGAUCGCGCGGAUGCCCAGCCUGGGGUUGAAGCGUUAAAACGAAUCAGGCUAGUCUGGUAGUGGCGUGUCCGUCCGCAGGUGCCAGGCGAAUGUAAAGACUGACUAAGCAUGUAGUACCGAGGAUGUAGGAAUUUCGGACGCGGGUUCAACUCCCGCCAGCUCCACCA
RNAcentral lists this transfer-messenger RNA (363 nucleotides) under Salmonella enterica. RNAcentral's name for it is "Standard tmRNA". It matches the Rfam family "transfer-messenger RNA". From Rfam's summary of the family: Bacterial tmRNA, also known as 10Sa RNA or SsrA, is named for its dual tRNA and mRNA-like properties. Its role is to liberate the mRNA from a stalled ribosome. The record is from RNAcentral. RNAcentral also lists the same sequence under 2 other names. Lineage: Bacteria; Pseudomonadati; Pseudomonadota; Gammaproteobacteria; Enterobacterales; Enterobacteriaceae.